RNAcentral lists this transfer RNA (76 nucleotides) under Brucella sp. 09RB8910. Its description in RNAcentral is "tRNA-Pro". It matches the Rfam family "tRNA". From Rfam's summary of the family: Transfer RNA (tRNA) molecules are approximately 80 nucleotides in length. The record is from RNAcentral. Lineage: Bacteria; Pseudomonadati; Pseudomonadota; Alphaproteobacteria; Hyphomicrobiales; Brucellaceae.
CUGGGUAUGGCUCAAUCGGUAGAGCGUCCGGCUUGGAACCGGAAGGCUGCAGAUUUAAGUGCCGUCACCUUGACCA